UGCGGAAGGAUCAUUACUGAUUUGCUUAAUUGCACCACAUGUGUUUUUCUUUGAAACAAACUUGCUUUGGCGGUGGGCCCAGCCUGCCGCCAGAGGUCUAAACUUACAACCAAUUUUUUAUCAACUUGUCACACCAGAUUAUUACUAAUAGUCAAAACUUUCAACAACGGAUCUCUUGGUUCUCGCAUCGAUGAAGAACGCAGCGAAAUGCGAUACGUAAUAUGAAUUGCAGAUAUUCGUGAAUCAUCGAAUCUUUGAACGCACAUUGCGCCCUCUGGUAUUCCGGAGGGCAUGCCUGUUUGAGCGUCGUUUCUCCCUCAAACCGCUGGGUUUGGUGUUGAGCAAUACGACUUGGGUUUGCUUGAAAGACGGUAGUGGUAAGGCGGGAUCGCUUUGACAAUGGCUUAGGUCUAACCAAAAACAUUGCUUGCGGCGGUAACGUCCACCACGUAUAUCUUCAAACUUUGACCUCAAAUCAGGUAGGA
RNAcentral lists this unclassified non-coding RNA (485 nucleotides) under Candida albicans. RNAcentral describes it as "sequence contains 18S rRNA gene, ITS1, 5.8S rRNA gene, ITS2, 28S rRNA gene". The stretch from base 156 to 309 matches the Rfam family "5.8S ribosomal RNA". Lineage: Eukaryota; Fungi; Ascomycota; Pichiomycetes; Serinales; Debaryomycetaceae. The record is from RNAcentral.